Molecule: long non-coding RNA, 3883 nt
Organism: Xenopus laevis (African clawed frog)
Lineage: Eukaryota; Metazoa; Chordata; Amphibia; Anura; Pipidae
Exons: 3
Source: RefSeq, a predicted model, not a curated record
GAAUUUAUUAGUGAUAUUGGGCUGGCUUGUACACACUAUUGUGUUUUCCUCUCUUUGAGAAAGGUUUGGUUAUGUAUGCUGGAGUACAAGAGGGGGAACAAAGCUGGAAGUGGUGAGAAAGGCUUUGUGCAGACAUGCUGUAUUUUGCAAGAAAAUGUACCUGAUUCCUGCUGCUGUGGGUUACCCUGGUUUGACCUCCGAUUUUUCGACCUUGUAUGGAAUCAACCUGUCUGCUGCCAGCCCCGACCUUUUUGCCAAUUACUGGACUUUCCCUUGUCUAUCGUUAGCCUCACCACAGGCCUGUAUUGGAACUUGUUGUCAUUCAUUAAACAUCUGUUUCUGCUCACUAUCCAGCCAGUAAUGGGUUAAUCUUGGGUUACUCAACACAACGACUUCUACCUGCCAGUCACUCACCAGUCGGCAAACCUGACAGUGGUGCAACAAAUAGACAGAGGGACGGAGGAAGACCCAGCAGUCUUAGUCUUAAAUGCUAGGAAAAAAGCUAAGAACAAGAAGGGAAUAAUCUCAGCAAUAUUUCCUGUGCCAUGAGCAAUGUUAAGAAGGCAGAGAGUGCUUAGGGAGGUUAAUGUAUGGCUAAGAGAUUGGUGUAGGGUGGAGGGUUUUGGGUUUCUGGAGAACUGGGCUGAUUUUUCAAGAAGCUGCUAUACUUAGUUUCAGAGGGGCAGGGACAAUAUAAAAGAAGGAGGGGCAUAUAAGCCAAUAUAAGGGAAGAAAUAAUGGUGGAAAAUAAUGGAGCUUAAGCUUUAUGGGUGGAGCUUUUUGCAGAUUGUAAACAGUCCAGCAUAUUAAUUGUAGAGGUAUGGUAAUGUAAAGAGGAAGUGGCUUAGCUCCAAUUGCAAAAAGAAGGGAGAAUGAGACCCAGCUAGGGCCGAGAUGAUUUUAGGCAGUGCCACCCCCUCAAACAGGAAUGUUUCCUAGUACCUCGCUGCCCCAGCCCGCCAUGCCAUAACAAUGGUGGGCUACCUAGUGGUGGGAAAAAGAGGGGUGAACUAGCGGCGGAACCAGGGGGCAGGUUUCAGGUAAAUGUGUACUUAAGGAGUGGAAAAGUAAAGUUCAGUCAGACUCACUUUUGUUUAUUGUUUCUGCAGGACAGGCCCAAAAGAUUCUGGGAGGAGUGGGAGAGUUCUGUGCAGAUCACCAUCCCCAGGCAGCUCAAGAUUAAGACAUAAGCACAAAAAUGCCUAACUGCAUAGUACACGGUUGUCAUCACCGUACUGGACAAAAGGAUAAAUUCUCAAAUGUCACACUCCAUAAAUUUCCAAACAACAUUACUGCAAUAACCAAUUGGUUAAAACAAACUGCACAGUAUGGAGACAAUUUGGAGUCUGAGGCAGAAAAAAUGUUUCAAGCAGCCAAAACUGCUAGAUAUAGAAUGUGUUCAUUGCACUUUAGUGAUGAUUCUUUUAUCAUGCACGGAUCCCAAAGAGUACUCAAUCCUAAAGCUGUACCUACCAUUUUUGAAAAUCAACCGACUACUGUUUCACUGCAAUGGAAGCUGUACCUUUCCAAAGCCAGAAAAGAAGAAGAGUAGAUGAUGAAGUACCUUCAACCUCUCACUCAUAUCAGAAAUAUGAUCACAAUUGCAACCCAAACCGAAUCCAAAUUUUUUGUUGAUGCAAAUACUACUACAAGCGAUACAUUUUUUGGAAUUGAUCAAUCAAGUGGUUCUGAUAAUCCAAUGAAAACUCUUGAAAUUGGUAUACAAACAGGGGAUGAUUCUCUGCCUGCAGAACCUUGGCGAAUACAUUCAGACCAUGCAUAUCCGGUUUCAUUUUCAACACCUAUAGAACUAGUCCAACAUGUUGUUACUACUGGACCGAUAUCAACUGAACAGAACCUUGGAGAUUCUACUGUUCAUGAAGAUCCCAAUGUGUGUGUAGAUCUUGAUAGCUCAAUUAGUAGUAUUAAAGCUAUCGACACCAGUUUCGAAGAAGAAAAGAACCUUCCUUUUAUGAACCAGAGGAAAGUGUUACCUUUACAGAGGAAGAAUCAACAUUUACUGAAAAUAAAGAAGAAAUACAUCAGCGACGUUUUAUAGUAUUUGAACAAUCCCUGGACCAACUAUUUUACUUAAUAAAAUGUCAACAUAACUGUGAUCCAAAGUGUCAAGCUCCCAUAAUUGAUGUUGAAAAAAAAAUAUAUGAAACCAUGGUUGAGGCACAGUUAACCUGUCUGUCUGGACAUACCUCUUUCGUGUGGAAUUCACAACCUAUGGCUGGUCAGAUAUCAAUUGGGAAUGUAUCAUUAGCAUGUGCGAUUUUACUCAGCGGUUCAUCAUUUACCAAAGUAAAAGAAAUGUUUCAGUUGAUCGCCAUUCCAUUUUAUUCUCAUACUACUUACUACACCUAUCAAAAACGAUACGUUUUCCCUGCAAUCGACUUGUGUUGGAUCAACGAACAGGAAUCUUUGAAAGAAGACAUCAUGGAUAAAGCUGUAGUAUUGGCCGGUGAUGGCCAAUUUGACAGUCCGGGACAUUGUGCAAAAUACUGCACAUAUUCCAUGAUGGACAUCAUCACCAAGAAAAUUGUUGAUUUCAAUAUACAAUAAGUUGGACCAGGUAAGAAAGCUGGUGAAAUGGAAAAAAUAGCAUUUGAAGAAAGUCUUCAGAAACUGACAAAUAAAGGGGUAAACAUUAAAAUAUUGGCAACAGACCGUCAUUCAAGUAUUAGAAAAUUCAUGCAGACGAAAUCAGAAACCAUUAAUCAUCAAUUUGAUGUAUGGCACAUCUGUAAGAGUCUGGUAAAGAAACUCACUGCUGCGAGCAAAACAAUAAAUUUUAAAGGAUUGAAUCCAUAACAAAUCACUUGUGGUGGUGUUCACAAACAUGUGAUCAGAAUGUUGAAAAUUUGUUAGAUAAGUGGAGAUCAUUGUUAUUUCACAUUGCAAAUAAACACACAUUCAAACAACUAAAAACCUACAAAAAAUGCCAGCACAAAAGGUUAACUGCCGCUCAAAAAAAGAUAAAAAGUGGAUAACUCCAUCUCAUCCAGUUUACAGCACUUUAGUUGGUAUCCUGAAAAACUAAUUUUUAAUCAAAGACAUUUUACAAAUUGAGAAAUUCUCACACUGGAGACCUUGAAAACUUCCACAGUAAGGUGCUAAAGUACCGGCCAAAAAGGAUUGCAUUUAAAAUGGACUCAAUGCACGCGUGAACCAUGCUGUCAGUGCUCUCUCAUAACAAGAAUGUGAAUCGCAAACAGGCUACCAUUCAUUGUUCCAAAAAAUCUGCUCUAAAUGUUGGGGAAAAGAGGUACAAAAUAGUUUUCCGAAGCAAAAGAAGGAAUGGGUAGCAAAACCGAUUUUUGAGGAAGUCACUGAUUCACAUUUGUGCGACUUAAUUUCCGAUGCAGGCAAAAUAUUAAAAGGCGAGAUUGUUCACCGUUGGGAGUCUCGAAGCAAGGGAUUACCCAAAAACAUUGCUUCAAAAAUAAGGCCUGAGAAAUCUGUUGCAAUAGCACAGCGUCAAUCAAGAUUUGGAAUAUAAGAUUUGGCUUCAAUAACAACUAUAUGUAAAAAGAAAAUAUAUUUUGAACAAAAAAACUUAUAAUUAUCUUUCAUGUUUGUUUUUAUAACAAAUAUUCUAUCUUAAUUCGUGAAAUUUGUUACCACAACAAAUAAUCCUUUAUUGUUUAUGUAUUUAUGCAUAUAAGUUUUGCAUUGCUACACUUUUCCCCAUAUGUAAUAAAAGGCACUAAGUUUAACCAGUAGCAGUAACCCAUAUCACCUAUAAGAUGUUUGCUUUGAAACUGGUACUGUUAAGUUCAACCUACUGAUUGCCUGCUAUGGGAUUCUGCUCCUGGGCAAACUUAGUUCUUUUAUUACUUUACACCCUAAAAGUGUAAAAAAAAAUUCUAGAUAUAAU